Molecule: non-coding RNA, 98 nt
Organism: Mycobacterium saskatchewanense
Lineage: Bacteria; Bacillati; Actinomycetota; Actinomycetes; Mycobacteriales; Mycobacteriaceae
Source: Rfam
CGCAUUCGAGCGGGAGAGUUCCGUGGCUGCCAGUCACGGACGCCGAAGGAGCAACACCUCUCCGUCAACCUCUCAGGCACCCGGACCGCGCGAGUAAA